This 433-nucleotide ribosomal RNA is filed under the name uncultured bacterium. Its description in RNAcentral is "partial 16S ribosomal RNA". It matches the Rfam family "Bacterial small subunit ribosomal RNA", at positions 29 to 507 of the family's 1533-position model. The record is from RNAcentral.
AACGAACGCUGGCGGCAUGCCUAACACAUGCAAGUCGAACGAGACCUUCGGGUCUAGUGGCGCACGGGUGCGUAACGCGUGGGAACCUGCCCUUAGGUUCGGAAUAACUCCCCGAAAGGGGUGCUAAUACCGGAUAAUGUCUUCGGACCAAAGAUUUAUCGCCUUUGGAUGGGCCCGCGUUGGAUUAGCUAGUUGGUAGGGUAAAAGCCUACCAAGGCGACGAUCCAUAGCUGGUCUGAGAGGAUGAUCAGCCCCACUGGGACUGAGACACGGCCCAGACUCCUACGGGAGGCAGCAGUGGGGAAUAUUGGACAAUGGGCGCAAGCCUGAUCCAGCAAUGCCGCGUGAGUGAUGAAGGCCUUAGGGUUGUAAAGCUCUUUUACCCGGGAUGAUAAUGACAGUACCGGGAGAAUAAGCUCCGGCUAACUCCGUG